Manis pentadactyla (Chinese pangolin) is the source of this 1955-nucleotide long non-coding RNA. RefSeq lists it as uncharacterized. Lineage: Eukaryota; Metazoa; Chordata; Mammalia; Pholidota; Manidae. The record is from RefSeq and is a predicted model, not a curated record. The transcript is spliced from 4 exons.
GGCUACUGUCGAUAAUGCUUCUAUGAGCACAAGUGUACAGAUACCUAUUUGAAUCCCUAUUUCAACUCUUUUGGAUAUAUAUUCAGAAGCUGAAUUACUGGAUCAUAUAGUAAUUCUAUAAUGUAAGAUAAGAGUUUGCUUUCGUUUUUUUGCAUGUGGAUAUCCAGUUCUCCCAGCACUAAUUGCUGUAGUUGCUGAAAGGCCAUCCGCCAUUGAAUGCUCUUGGCACUCUGAAAAUGUUUGCUGACCUCUGCUUUAGGAUAUUCAUCAACAUAGAUAACCAGGAUCACAUCCAUGUUCCUACAGGCCAGCAAAGGCCAGGUUUGUUGGUCUUCUGAGCUUGCAGCUCUACUAGGAGUAGUGUACCAAUUCUCCUGCCAUCAUGUGGUUAUGCAUUCCUGUAAAAGUUCUCAGCUAGGAGAAUGAGAGCUUUUCAACGGGAGACCAUGAGGCCUCAGUCAUCUUUCAACAACCUCCUUGCAUACUUGAGGAGACCGGAGCCUUCAGGUGUGUGGUGUGAGGUUAUGGAAGCUCUGCUGGGAAGUCCCUGAAGAAGUACGCAGGGCUGGGAGAACUCAUUCCCUCGUGGACAGUCAGCCGCCCUCCACAGCCCCUGAGCUGCACACACGUCACUUUGGAGCCAAGUGUGAACAGUUCUGAUUCUGAGGCUUUCACUGGGGCUGCAUCUCCCCUCGGAUGGCUGGGACAGUUUCAAAGUCAAACUCAAGUGACUAAGACAUCAAGAUUUAUACAGAUACAGAGCUAUGCAAACCUAGUCAUGAUUUUCUGUAAGUAGAUGUUUCUCACUCUAGGUUACCUUCAGUGAUUCAUAUUUUAAGUUCUUUUUGAUAGAAUUAAACAAUCCAAUAAUGUCAUUUGAUGGCUCUAUUCACGAUUUACUUCUGGACCCCAUGCAGCCCCAGGUGGCCUUUUAAGCGAAAGCACUUAAUUACUUCCUACAACCUAAGGGAAUGUGGGAUUACAAAUGCCGCUAGAUUAUUAAAGCACAUAUUUGGUUCAUAAUUUGUCUCUUCUGCUCACUUCCAUCAUGAAAUGGAAUAAUUUAGAGCAGGGAAUCAUGGAGAGCAAGGGGACACUUUAACAAGAUCAUUUGAAUCAACUUCUAAAUAAGAUUUAUUGAUUUAUUCUUAAUAUAGAAAAUUUGGAAAAUGAUGAAAUGCAUCGUGGAGCUCAAUUUUAUCGUGUGGCUCCAUUACUUAUUUGAAGAGUCAUGAAUUUCCAGGAUGUAAGACACUCCAAGAGUAGAUAAACAUUACUGUGGAAUUGCCCACUGUUUAUAUUAUCUGUAUCCUUAGCCAAUAAUAUGCAUAAUGAAGAGAUGGUCAAUUAGUAUUAUGAAUUAGCUGGCACAUAACUGAAGAGUUUGUUCAUGUACUUUAACAUUUUAAGUAUCACUCUUGCAAGUACAGCUUAUGACUAGUUUGUUAUGAGAGAAUCUGAGGGCAUAAAAAGUUCAGGUUUAUUUAUUUAUUUUUUAAGUGAUUUUUGAAUGGUGGGAAUUCCAAAAGCUGAGGAACUUUUUUUUUUAAACCAGAGUCAGAAAUAUUGCAUUUUCAUGACCUUUUCCUUCAUGAGUAACUCAGAAAAUUUGAUUCAAACUUUCCAAAAUAAAUUUUUCUUUGGCUUGAGACUAAAGCAUAAUAAUUUUCGGUUCAAAAGGAGCUGUUGGUGGACAUUUUUUUUUUUCCGACAACAUGAGAAAGGAAAGAAAUUCAGGCCUCAAAUAGAGUCCUAGUUGUUAGUUUAAUUAGGGAGCAGGGACUGUGGCGCCAUAAUUACUGGAAAUGAUGCACCCACAUCAUCCAUGUUAUUAGAUUGGGAAAUUUUUUACUUUCUUUUCUGAGGAAAAUAGAGAUGUGUGUCCCAAACUGAAAAAUUCCUACUGAUGUCAGUAAGCACACCAUACAUCUGUGAUUUGUCUGUAGGGAGCAAAG